UGGAAGACAGUUCCACCAGCUGUGUAGGACCCAGGGGGAUCCACAGCCCAGUUCCCAUUGAUGAUGGACCUGCCCCCAGGGCCACGAAGAGCUGAAAGGGAGAGAUCCGGAACUUGGAGACUCCACAGCCAUCUGGACGCUUGCCAGACCCGAGGAUGCCAUCACAGCCAGGGCUCUGGGAAGAGUGAGGUGAGGCAGGGUCACAUGGAAACCAGAUGCCCCGUUACUCACCCUGGUCCACGCGGGGCCCUCAGCUCAUCACCAGCCUUGCUGCGGUGCUCUUCACCAGCCCCAGCGCCCUGGCCACGCUCGGGGAUGUGGGGAGCCUGACGGGAGCCCUCCUCAGCGUGGCAGGCCAGCGCUUCCCCUGGGGGAGUCUGUUACUUUGUGGUUGUAACGAUGACUGAAAGAGACUGUGUGCACAUGCACACCCUGUCCUCCCUCACCAGACAGCGUCCAGCCACACAGAUGUCGGGGGCUCCAGGCUGACACAGGGUCCCAUCCUGGACCUUUUCAGUGUGACGGACGUAGAAACGGAAGCCGCGGGGACGGCAGUUCAGCUCACAGCGUUGGGAUCCCUGAACUAGAAGACAAGGUAGAAGGGCCUGGGUGUGGACGGAUCCAUCAGCAGAUGUCUGUGAGACCUCUGGAAGCCAUUCUUCAGGUCUCAGCAUGAAGCUGUUGAGCAGUCUGGAUUGUUCCACAGCCCGAGAAGCGCGCCUCUUUGAUUUAAUUGACCUUGAGCCACCCUCAAGUCCAUUCUCCGAGUCUGGAGCCAGGAGGACCCCAUCUGCUCUGCAGCCUGCCAGGGACCUGUCUUCAGCAGCUGACUCUAUUCCCUGGCUCGUGGCCCCAGAUUACUAGGGAUCUGAACACCAAGAGGGGCUCGUCGCUGCCCACUGACGGAUGACUGAGAACAGAUGAGGAAACUGAGGCACAGAAUGAUAAAGGAAAUUGCCUAGGAUCACAAGAAUUAGGCAACCUUCAUUUCAUAAAAGAGCAUUCCUAUGGGCUGAGCUGAAGAGGUUGGUUUAUAUAAAGAAAGUCUGAAGAAAGAAGCAACACAAGAACAAAUAGCAAACUGGUAUUUCAAUUACUUUCCUUGUAAAGUGGAUUACUUCCUCUUUCAGAAAUAUCUACUAUAGGGCUGGGGCUGUAGCUCGGUGGUAGAGUGCUUGCCUUGCAGGUGUGAGGCCCUGGGUUCAAUCCUUAACACCACAUAAAAAUAAAUAAUAAAGAUGUUGUGUCCAUCUACAACUAAAAAAUAUUUUUAAAAAAGAAAUAUUUACUUCUGUUAAUGUAGAUAUAUAUAUUUGUGGGUGUAUGUGUGUAGUGCUGGGGAUUGAAUGUUAAUGGAUAUUAAACUCUCUAUAGAGCUAACAUUCUUGAGAUAAUGUUUUGGGGGCUGGGGAUGUGGCUCAAGCGGUAGUGCCCUCGCCUGGCAUGCGUGCGGCCCGGGUUCGAUCCUCAGCACCACAUACAAACAAAGAUGUUGUGUCCGCCGAUAACUAAAAAUAA
Marmota monax (woodchuck) is the source of this 1518-nucleotide long non-coding RNA. RefSeq lists it as uncharacterized. The transcript has 6 exons. Lineage: Eukaryota; Metazoa; Chordata; Mammalia; Rodentia; Sciuridae. The record is from RefSeq and is a predicted model, not a curated record.